AUCGAACGCUGGCGGCGUGGCUAAAGCAUGCAAGUCGAACGCGAAAGUUCCCGCAAGGGAGCCGGUAGAGUGGCGGAAGGGCGAGGAAUACAUGGGCAACGUACCCUGAGCUUGGGGACAGCUGCGAGAAAUUGCAGGUAAUACCCGAUGACACCGCAGUUUCACAAGCGAUUGCGGUCAAAGGCGGGGAUCCCUUCGGGGACCUGUCGGCUCUGGAGCGGCCCAUGUCCUAUCAGCUAGUUGGUGAGGUAACGGCCCACCAAGGCAACGACGGGUACCGGGACUGAGAGGUUGGCCCGGCGCAUUGGGACUGAGACACUGCCCAGACUCCUACGGGUGGCAG
RNAcentral lists this ribosomal RNA (343 nucleotides) under uncultured Planctomycetota bacterium. RNAcentral describes it as "bacterial SSU rRNA". It matches the Rfam family "Bacterial small subunit ribosomal RNA", at positions 29 to 351 of the family's 1533-position model. The record is from RNAcentral. Lineage: Bacteria; Pseudomonadati; Planctomycetota.